AUGCUCGGCACCCCCGUCGUCAUCGGCGCCGGCUGCUGCUCCGGCCGCGCUGGGCGCGGAUACCAAUGGGCAGAGGAUGCUUCCUUGGCCAAGCCGAUGCCCGCGACCAGGCGGCUCCCCCGCGCCGGCAACGGCCCCUGCGGCCCCGUCGGACGCCGCCCCUCCAGCCACCUCCAAGCUCGUGGUGAAGCUGCGGCCGCCGCCCGCCGUCGUCCCCGGUGGUUCGACCCCAUUCGGCUUCUCCAGCAGCAUUCCAUCAAGUGA
Molecule: ribosomal RNA, 264 nt
Filed under: Triticum aestivum (bread wheat)
Lineage: Eukaryota; Viridiplantae; Streptophyta; Magnoliopsida; Poales; Poaceae
Description: partial small subunit ribosomal RNA
Source: RNAcentral